Molecule: non-coding RNA, 106 nt
Organism: Acanthosepion pharaonis
Lineage: Eukaryota; Metazoa; Mollusca; Cephalopoda; Sepiida; Sepiidae
Source: the annotation of a GenBank genome assembly
UCACAUUGUUGAAACUCCGGUUACCAUAUGAUCACUGAAGUUAAACAAUGUCGAGUCUGGUCAGUACUGAGAUGGGUGAUCACUUGGGAAUACCAGGUGCUGUAAG